Molecule: ribosomal RNA, 253 nt
Filed under: uncultured bacterium
Lineage: Bacteria
Description: partial 16S ribosomal RNA
Rfam family: Bacterial small subunit ribosomal RNA
Source: RNAcentral
UACGUAGGGGGCGAGCGUUGUCCGGAAUUAUUGGGCGUAAAGAGCGUGUAGGCGGUUCGGUAAGUCUGCCGUGAAAACCUGGGGCUCAACCCCGGGCGUGCGGUGGAUACUGCCGGGCUAGAGGGUGGUAGAGGCGAGUGGAAUUCCCGGUGUAGCGGUGAAAUGCGCAGAUAUCGGGAGGAACACCGGUGGCGAAGGCAGGUCUCUGGGCUAUAACUGACGCUCAUGCACGAAAGCGUGGGGAGCAAACAGG